This 323-nucleotide small nuclear RNA is filed under the name Pogona vitticeps (central bearded dragon). RNAcentral's name for it is "7SK RNA (ENSPVIG00000018866.1)". It matches the Rfam family "7SK RNA". Rfam says of the family: 7SK was discovered as an abundant small nuclear RNA in the mid-70s but a possible function has only recently been suggested. Lineage: Eukaryota; Metazoa; Chordata; Lepidosauria; Squamata; Agamidae. The record is from RNAcentral.
UGUGAGGGCGAUCUGGCUGCGACAUCUGUCACCCCAUUGAUCACCAGGGUUGAUUCGGCUGAUCUGGCUGGCUAGGCGGGUGUCCCCUUCCUCCCUCACCGCUCCAUGUGCGUCCCUCCCGAAGCUGCGCGCUCGGUGGAAGAGGACGACCAUCCCAGAUAGAAGGAGUGUACCGUUCUUCGGUCAAGGGUAUACGAUAGCUGCGCUCCCCUGCUAGAACCUCCAAACAAGCUCAAGGUCCAUUUGUAGGAGAACGUAGGGUAUUUGAUUCAGAUCUAGAGUACAACAAACCCUUCCUAUCUGACCGUCUGGUUUGAAUGUUU